This 401-nucleotide unclassified non-coding RNA is filed under the name soil metagenome. RNAcentral's name for it is "partial contains 5.8S ribosomal RNA, internal transcribed spacer 2, and large subunit ribosomal RNA". The stretch from base 1 to 121 matches the Rfam family "5.8S ribosomal RNA", at positions 35 to 154 of the family's 154-position model. The record is from RNAcentral.
GAUGAAGAACGCAGCGAAAUGCGAUAAGUAAUGUGAAUUGCAGAAUUCAGUGAAUCAUCGAAUCUUUGAACGCACCUUGCGCCCUUUGGCUAUUCCGAAGGGCAUGCCUGUUUGAGUAUCAUGAACACCUCAACUCCUCAUGGCUUGCCAUGAUGAGCUUGGACUUGGGGGUCUUGCUGGCCUGUGGUCAGCUCCUCUCAAAUGAAUCAGCUUGCCAGUGUUUGGUGGCAUCACAGGUGUGAUAACUAUCUACGCUUGUGGUUUUCCAUCAGGUAACCUUCAGUGAUGGAGGUUCGCUGGAGCUCAUAAAUGUCCCUCCUCAGCGAGGACAGCUUUUUGAACGUUUGAUCUCAAAUCAGGUAGGACUACCCGCUGAACUUAAGCAUAUCAAUAAGCGAGGA